Molecule: ribosomal RNA, 1176 nt
Filed under: Triticum aestivum (bread wheat)
Lineage: Eukaryota; Viridiplantae; Streptophyta; Magnoliopsida; Poales; Poaceae
Description: partial small subunit ribosomal RNA
Source: RNAcentral
AUGGCGGCUGCGACAGCGUGCUCGGAUCACUGCCCACUCCUGCUGGCCAACACCACAACUCCAAAGAGAAAACCGGUUUUUCAUUUCGAGCAUUUCUGGCCGCGUUUUCCAAGGUUCCAUGACACUGUAAACCUGGCCUGGCAACGGCCGGUGAACCACACAUGCCCGAUCAUAAGGCUAAGGAUCAAACUGAAGAGAGUUGCUCAUGAUCUUACCAUAUGGGCCAGGUCCCAUUUCAGCGAUGCCAAACUUCAAUUCCACCUGGCCUGCGAGGUGAUACUGCGGCUGGAUGUUGCCCAGGAAAAGCGUGCCCUCUCUGCAGGGGAAUUCAGUCUGCGCAAGCAACUUAAGCAAAGAAUACUAGGGUUGGCUGCGAUCGAGAGGGCUCGCAAGAGGCAAGCCUCUAGGAUCACCUGGCUCAAGGAAGGGGACGCUCGCUCUUCUUUCUUCCAAGCCAAAAUCAAUUCACGAAAGCGGAAAAUUUUCAUUCACUCACUGGAAGUUGACAAUGCGGUCAUAACUGUGCACGAUGAUAAGGCUUCUGUUGCUCACUCACAUUUCUCCAACCUCCUGGGAAGAAAAGAGGUCAGAAAAUGCUCGUUCAACUGGGAGAUGCUGGACAUGCCCACAGUACAAAACGAGGGGCUUGACAACCCAUUUACCGAAGCUGAAGUUUGGGCAGCAAUGCUGGCGUCGCCGGCGGAUCGAGCUCCUGGCCCGGACGGAUUCUCGGGCAUGUUUUUCAAAUCAUGCUGGGGCACGAUAAAGGAGGAUGUAAUGGCUCUGUUCCACCAUCUUUACAACCUUGGAGGAGGGGGGAAUUUUGCUGAUUUGAACACGGCCAUGAUCGCCCUGCUCCCAAAGAAGGAUGGUGCUGCCAAGAUAAGCGACUUCCGGCCGAUCAGUCUCAUACACUCUGUAGCCAAGCUGUUUUCAAAAGUCCUGUCCAUUCACCUCGCCAACGUCAUCGACAAGCUCAUCAGCCCGGCGCAAACAGCUUUUCAGAGGAGGAAGUGCAUCCAAGACACUUUCCUUUAUGUGCAGAACACUGUCAGAAAACUACAUCGCAGCAAAACCCCGGCGCUUUUGCUGAAGCUUGACAUUGCAAGGGCCUUUGAUUGUGUUUCUUGGGAAUAUCUGUUAGAGCUUCUAGAGGUGCUUGGUUUUCCCCCGUGA